UUCGGAUCGUAAAACUCUGUUAUCAGGGAAGAACAAAUGUGUAAGUAACUGUGCACAUCUUGACGGUACCUGAUCAGAAAGCCACGGCUAACUACGUGCCAGCAGCCGCGGUAAUACGUAGGUGGCAAGCGUUAUCCGGAAUUAUUGGGCGUAAAGCGCGCGUAGGCGGUUUUUUAAGUCUGAUGUGAAAGCCCACGGCUCAACCGUGGAGGGUCAUUGGAAACUGGAAAACUUGAGUGCAGAAGAGGAAAGUGGAAUUCCAUGUGUAGCGGUGAAAUGCGCAGAGAUAUGGAGGAACACCAGUGGCGAAGGCGACUUUCUGGUCUGUAACUGACGCUGAUGUGCGAAAGCGUGGGGAUCAAACAGGAUUAGAUACCCUGGUAGUCCACGCCGUAAACGAUGAGUGCUAAGUGUUAGGGGGUUUCCGCCCCUUAGUGCUGCAGCUAACGCAUAAGCACUCCGCCU
Molecule: ribosomal RNA, 465 nt
Filed under: Staphylococcus warneri
Lineage: Bacteria; Bacillati; Bacillota; Bacilli; Caryophanales; Staphylococcaceae
Description: bacterial SSU rRNA
Rfam family: Bacterial small subunit ribosomal RNA
Source: RNAcentral